CCACACUGGGACUGAGACACGGCCCAGACUCCUACGGGAGGCAGCAGUGGGGAAUAUUGCACAAUGGGCGCAAGCCUGAUGCAGCGACGCCGCGUGAGGGAUGACGGCCUUCGGGUUGUAAACCUCUUUCAGUAGGGAAGAAGCGAAAGUGACGGUACCUGCAGAAGAAGCGCCGGCUAACUACGUGCCAGCAGCCGCGGUAAUACGUAGGGCGCAAGCGUUAUCCGGAAUUAUUGGGCGUAAAGAGCUCGUAGGCGGUUUGUCGCGUCUGCCGUGAAAGUCCGGGGCUCAACUCCGGAUCUGCGGUGGGUACGGGCAGACUAGAGUGAUGUAGGGGAGACUGGAAUUCCUGGUGUAGCGGUGAAAUGCGCAGAUAUCAGGAGGAACACCGAUGGCGAAGGCAGGUCUCUGGGCAUUAACUGACGCUGAGGAGCGAAAGCAUGGGGAGCGAACAGGAUUAGAUACCCUGGUAGUCCAUGCCGUAAACGUUGGGCACUAGGUGUGGGGGACAUUCCACGUUUUCCGCGCCGUAGCUAACGCAUUAAGUGCCCCGCCUGGGGAGUACGG
Molecule: ribosomal RNA, 567 nt
Filed under: Arthrobacter sp. 19ISP-1
Lineage: Bacteria; Bacillati; Actinomycetota; Actinomycetes; Micrococcales; Micrococcaceae
Description: bacterial SSU rRNA
Rfam family: Bacterial small subunit ribosomal RNA
Source: RNAcentral